CGCAAUCUACCGCAAUACUCGCAACACCUUGUAGCUAGUACUCCUGCGGUCUCCUCCAUGGGUGGGAACUGUCGGUCUCCAUGGCAUUUCCUUGGAGACUCUGACGUCAAUGGCCUGGAAUAUUCCCAGAUCCAGUUCCAGAAGCUCAGUUCCUUUGAAGCUUGAGGAAGAAGCAAAGUGGCUUACUGGAAGAGAACCAUCGCGAGCCUUCCACUGUGUUGCAGAAUCAUCGCGAGCCUACUACUAUAUACUGUGUUGCAGAACUAUCGCAAGCCUACCACGGUAUUGCAAGAACCAUCGCGAGCCUUCCACUGCGUUGCAGAACUAUCGCGAGACUUCCACUGUGUUGCAAGAACCAACGCAACAACGCAAGCCUUCCAGCGGACUAUUGUAAGUUGAAACUGUACCUCUGCAUUCAUCUUGUCUGUCGCUUGUUGCACGUGUACGCGUGUAUGUUGUUGCAGCUAUUAGAUUGGUUGUUCACUCUCUGGCCUUUGAGUGUAUCGGUGUUGCAUUGUUUGUUGAGAGUGGAAGGUUUCUGCUCUUGUAUUUAAGGACGUGUGUAUUUAAGGAAUGUGGCCUCUUCUUGACUGUGAGGUGUGUAGGUCAUGCAGCUUAAUAGAUACAUACUUGCCAGCAAAGCGCACAUUAAAUGCAUGUAUGCAUGGCUAAACUCGUGUCGACAACGCUUUUUAUGUACUGUUUAUAUACGCGUGGCUAAGAGUCUAUUACCUGCAUGGCCUUGAACCCUUUGGUGGGGGAGGGGGGUGGUGGUGUCCGUAGCACUCAAGUAAUCAAUCAGAAUGUGUGUGGAAGGUUCUUCAACAGUCGGGUCGCAGGACAGCAUCUUCUUGUUCUUGGAACCGUUGUCGAACCAGCCUUUGGGGUGCAAUGAUGGAUUACUCAUGGCAUUCCAGUCUAUUGAGGGAGCACUCUGCUGUUAGUACCUGCCUAAAGGGAAAGCAGCACAGGGUCCUGCCAUAAUUGGGAGUGUUAAGAUCUCGUUAUCAGUUCCAAUAGUUAGUUAGCUAGGAUCAUUAGAAAAUAGCUAGCUAUAAUAUAGUUAGACAACUGCUGCUUCUUGACUUAUGCUAAUCUGUUAUAACGGCUUUUUUAGGAUCUUAACUCUGUGCCUACUGCACAUGGAAUUGGUAAGUUCAGGCUUUAACUAAACCUAGGUGUGCCAAGGGAACUGUAGCCUUUGACUGGUUUAGUAAAGAGUAGUCUUGAGCACUUGUGCAAGCCUUGCGUGCCAGGCUUGUUACAACUGGAGUCGACAAGGGCUUCAAGAGCAAGGAGGUGUUGUCUCUGUGAGUCUACUGUUGUUUGAACCAUCCCACACAUUCUGGUUGAUUACUUCUGUGCUCAGUUAAUGGUACUCACAGUCACAGGGUCCCUUUAGUUUAUUAUGCCCUUAUUGUAUUAGUCCCUUGGGGAGGAAACUACUGGUGGUGGUUGAUUUGAUUGGUUGUUGUGGUUGGUUUAUUAUGAUGGGAAGUUCUGUCUCUUCUCUGCACAGUUGGUUUGACAGAUUGUCUGGUAUUGUGUUGAUAAUAAUUAUCUGGAGGUUGUUGUCAUCUCUUCUCUGCACAACACACUGCUGAUUGUUUGGUGUUGGAUUGUGGGAGUAUUGAUAAUAUAAUGUAUUAUUGGUGAUGUUUUGUCAGCUGUGGUGGUGAUUGGCUGGUAUGUGAGUGGAUGGUUUUGUUUGAACUGCUGCGCUCAAUGUAACCAUGCAUUUGCUUGUUCUCUUGCAGCCACAAUGCACACACACACAGCUCCUCCUACUAGCUACUGUACUAGUGUUCCAUUCUCUCACUGCUUUUGUCUCCUCUCUCCCCCAGGUACAGACAAGCCAUGCUGCUCUGGGACCCAGGAAGGAUUACUAACCUGAUCAAUGACUGCAUGUUCUGCAUAUAUAAUUAUAUUGCAGGGUAUGGAAGGGGGCGGGAUUGGCUGUACGCCCCCACAUCUCUUUAGGGGCGGGGCUCGGAUCUCAACGCCCACUAUUACAAGUCUAGUGUGUGUAGCUGCAUGUAUGUAUGGACACAUUCAAGAUGAGUAUGGCUGGCUACAUGUACAGUGUUUUUCAUACAUUCCAUGAUGGUAGGUUGAUGUCUGCACAACAAAAGAUGAGUAGCUCCAUUGUGUACAGUAUCCUUGAGGGCCACCCUAACUGCAUCUAUAUAUACACAACAGAUGAGUAGCUCCAUUGUGUACAGUAUCCUUGAGGGCCACCCUAACUGCAUCUACACAACAGAUGAGUAGCUCCAUUGUGUACAGUAUCCUUGAGGGGCCACCCUAACUGCAUCUACAAAAACAGGCUAGCUAUGUUAUGUGGCAAGUCUUCCAUGUUCUCUGUGCAGGUUGAUUGUGUAUGGAGGAGCCACUGUAACAGCAUACACACAGAUAAGUAGCUAGCUAUGUUGUGUGGCAAGUCUUUCAUGCUCUCUGUGCAGGUUGAUUGCGUGUGGGGGAGCCACUGUAACAGCAUACACACAGAUGAGCAGCUAGCUAUGUUGUGUGUCAUGUCUUUCAUGCUCUCUGUGCAGGUUGAUUGUGUGGGGGAGCCACUGUAACAGCAUACACACAGAUGAGCAGCUAGCUAUGUUGUGUGUCAUGUCUUUCAUGCUCUCUGUGCAGGUUGAUUGUGUGGGGGAGCCACUGUAACAGCAUACACACAGAUGAGUAGCUAGCUAUGUUGUGUGGCAAGUCUUUCAUGUGCUCUGUGCAGGUUGAUUGUGUGGAGGAGCCACUGUAACAGCGUACGCACAGAUAAGUAGCUAGCUAUGUUGUGUGGCAAGUCUUUCAUGCUCUCUGUGCAGGUUGAUUGCGUGUGGGGGAGCCACUGUAACAGCAUACACACAGAUGAGCAGCUAGCUAUGUUGUGUGUCAUGUCUUUCAUGCUCUCUGUGCAGGUUGAUUGUGUGGGGGAGCCACUGUAACAGCAUACACACAGAUGAGCAGCUAGCUAUGUUGUGUGUCAUGUCUUUCAUGCUCUCUGUGCAGGUUGAUUGUGUGGGGGAGCCACUGUAACAGCAUACACACAGAUGAGUAGCUAGCUAUGUUGUGUGGCAAGUCUUUCAUGCUCUCUGCAGGUUGAUUGUGUGUGGGGGAGCCACUGUAACAGCAUACACACAGAUGAGUAGCUAGCUAUGUUGUAUGGCGUGUCUUUCAUGCUCUCUGUUGUGCAGGUUGAUGCAUAUGGAGAAGCCACUGUAACAGCAUACACGUACACACAGAUGAGUAGCUAGCUAUGUUGUAUGGCACGUCUUUACGAUGCCUAUACUUCAAGUUGAUUGCUUGGGAUGGACAGCAGUAACCAACACUACAAGCAGCUCUACUCUUAUUCUGAUUGCUGUAGUUACAAAUUGUUCCUUAAUUGGCUUACAAUUCGUAUGACAAUAAUUAUGUUUAAUUUUUAAUUAUUAUAAUAGUUAAAUAAGUUGGUAA
Halichondria panicea is the source of this 3453-nucleotide long non-coding RNA. RefSeq lists it as uncharacterized. The record is from RefSeq and is a predicted model, not a curated record. The transcript is spliced from 2 exons. NCBI's taxonomy places the organism in Eukaryota, Metazoa, Porifera, Demospongiae, Suberitida, Halichondriidae.